CCAUUCUCUCUUUAAUUAUUAUUUAUUAUUUUUUUUUAAAUAUUUUCAAUCCUUAUUUAUUUAAUUAUUUACUAUUAUCUAUUGAUUGCAUGAAUUUGAAAUUGACAAGGAUUGCUAAACAUAGACCAUUGACUAACCUCGAUUUAAUCGUUGAGAUUAAAUGAAAGAAAAACAAAUUGUAACCAACUUUAAAAAUAUCUAAAAUGCCCCUUCUAGAUGAUUUAAUUGAUUUAAAC
RNAcentral lists this long non-coding RNA (236 nucleotides) under Lathyrus oleraceus (garden pea). Its description in RNAcentral is "Pisum sativum (pea) long non-coding RNA (PSAT_LNC021846)". Lineage: Eukaryota; Viridiplantae; Streptophyta; Magnoliopsida; Fabales; Fabaceae. The record is from RNAcentral.